Molecule: long non-coding RNA, 4442 nt
Filed under: Nicotiana benthamiana
Lineage: Eukaryota; Viridiplantae; Streptophyta; Magnoliopsida; Solanales; Solanaceae
Description: long non-coding RNA (NBEN_LNC025082)
Source: RNAcentral
CGAAAAUUCACACGGCCCACCAAAUGAGUUUUGGAGUUGGGCUCUAGCAGAUUGCAGUCUGGGCCAAUAUUUCCUUUGGGCUUCAAAAAAAAUUUAGACUAAUUUAGUGGAAAUGAUACUAGCUAGCCACUUUUAAGCAUGUUGUUUAAAAUAUAUCCAUAGUUUAUAAUGUAAUUACAUAUUAAUCAAUUUCGCUCAAAUUUCAGGACACUGCGUCCUAUAAUUUAAAUCUCAAAAUUCAAACUUCAGGACAUCAUGUUCUAAAGUUCGAAUCUUAUGUCCUACAUUUUAAAUUAGUAGUUUAAAAAUUUGGAAAAUUUAAUUCUGAAUUUCAAAAACUCAAAAAUUCAGGAUGCAGGCAAAGUUGAACUUUAUAUGCCUACAACUUAGUCGAAGCUUGGGUUAAUUGACUUAUUUUUAAAUAUGUUAUAAAUUGCAGACAUAUUUUAAAUAAUGGAUUUAAAAGUGACUAUUGACGCACUUCGCCUAAUUUAUGCAAAUAUCUAUAUUUUAAUUUACAAAAUUUUAUAUCAUACCCAAACGUUUUCUCAUAAAUUUUCAGCUUGUUCAAAAGAAAACUUUAUCCCAUGUUUAAAAGGUCCAUCAGUGUAAGAAAAAUAUAAGUAGGAUUAUUUAGGGGUAUUUGCAUCUAUACUUAUUUUUUGGAUCACGUUUUCACUUAUACCUACUUUGCAAAAAAAUUUGCAAGCGUACCCACUUUUCGAGUAACUUCAGGCAUACGAGCCUGAAGUAGCAAUGACAAUCACGCAAACUUCAGCAUUCUGGUAGACGGGCUUGAAGUAGCAAAAAUUGAUGAACCAAAUAUUGGCUAAAGUUAUUGUUUGUAAUUAUUGAACUUAAUCAUUCUAGUAGCUGAAGUUUUGUUCUCUAUUUGUUAAACUUCAACAUGUUUUAGUUGUAGUUUUGUUCUAUAUUUGCUGAACUUCAAGAUUCUUAUAGCUGAAAUUCUAAAACAACAAUGACUAGUUGUCAUUAAGAAGAUCCCGUUACUAUAAUAAAAUUAUGAGGAAAUUUGAAAAGCAAUACUCAUAUAAAACAAGACCAUUUAAAAGCAACAUCUUCACCUAAUGCACAAAGAAUCAAGUUGUGCUUUCAUGUUUCAGUAGAAAUUAAAAUUAGAAUUUUCAAAUUGGACAGUCCAGAAGCUAAUUCCUAGCUGUAAAGAUCUAAAAUAGCAAAUAUAAGUUAGGCUAGAACACAUAAUGAUAUCUCAAUCUUCAAUAUUUAGAAAACGAAGGAGGAGGAGAAAGAGGUCUGAAGUGGUUAAAACAGUGAGUACACGUUAAAACUUUUUGAAAAGGUAGGUAUAGGUUAAAUAGAGGCGACCAAAUAGGAUGCCCCUGAAAUUUUUACGAUUAUUUACCAUACGGUUGACAUAAGAGAGACAAUCAACGAAAAUUUUACCCCUUAACGUAUGUCUAGCGUGACGACCUGGCCAGUCGUCUCAUGAGUUACCGCUCUAUUUCCCUCAAUUUUUGAUUCUUUAUGCCUUGUUAUCGUGUUUUGUGGUAUCGGGUUGGUUGGAUCGAAUUCGGAAUGAUUUUUGGUAAGGUUUGAGACACUUAGUCUCUUAAGAUUAAGUUGGAAAAGUUAACCAGAUGUUGACUUAUGUGUGAGAGGGUUUGGAUGUGAGUUCCGAUGGUUUGGUUAGCUUCGGGAGGUGAUUUAUGACUUAGGAGCAUGAUUGGAAUGAGUUUUGGUGGUUUGGAGUAGAUUUAGACUUGAAUUGGCGAAGUUGAUAUUUUGGCGAUUCCCGGUUGGUAGGCAAUAUUUUGAUAUAGGGGUCAGAAUGAAAUUUCAAGAGUUGCAGUAGCUCAAUUGUGUCAUUUGAGAUGUGUGUGCAAAAUUCCAGGUCAUUCGGACGUGGUUUGAUUAGGAUUUUGAUCAAAAGUGGAGUUCGAAAGACUUUAGAAACUUAAGCUUGAAUCUGAUAUAUUUUGGUUGGUUUGAUGUUGUUUGAGGGGUUUUGAAGAUUGGUACAAGUUUGAAUAAGGUUUGAGAUAUGUUGGUUCCUUUGGUCGAGGUCCCGGGGGCCUCGAGUGAGUUUUGUAUGGUCAAUUGGACUAUUUCUUGCCUUGGAGAAGUUGCAGAAUUGCAGGUUCAACUGUUGCAGAGAAUCCAUCUAUGCAAUCACAUAGGGGUUCCUGCGAUCACAUAGAAGCUUUUGAGGGGACAAUCUAGUUUUUCUUCGCGUUCACGAAGGUUGACUUGCGAUCGCAUAGAGUGGUGAAGUUGUUGAUCGCAAACACGUAGUGAAGUUCAUGUAGAGUUAAAUGGAACUGGGGUCUUGGCCUGAAUUUGUUCAUUACGAACGCGGUAGGCAGCCAACGAUCGCGUAGAGUUAGUCGCCUGGGAAUCACGUUCACAUGGUGUUUGAUGUGUUCUCAUAGGGUAAUUUUUGGGAGCUGAGAAUUUGUGUUUCGCGGCCGCGAAGGAUUUCCCGCGAUCGCAAUUAAGGAAAAUAGGCCUAGGCAGAAGGUUUAAAAGGUUGUCUUAUCCACGAGGAUUGGGUUUAUUUCUUCCAGUGUUGGUCGUUUUUUGAGCUUUUUGAGGGGGAAUCACUUGAAGGUAGGAUUCUUGGACUUAAAACUCGAUUAUUAUGUGAAUUCCACCUAAAAAAAUCAUGAAAAUUAAGCCAAAAAUUGAAGAAUAAGGGCUUGAAAUUGGAAACCUAAAUUUUGGGAUUUCAAGGGUCAUUUGUGGAUGGAUUUUGAUGUUUUUGAUAUGUAUGAACUCAUGGGGAGAUAAGGAACCUCUUAAUGUAAAAAAAUUUGAAUUUUGAGACGUGGGCCUGGACGUAGAAAAAGUUAGUGCUAAAGACCCAAAUAAUAUUGUUAAUUACAUGGUAAAGUUGCUGCAAUAGACAUAACCUUAUUUAUGCAUGUAGCGUCUUGAACCAGGCAAGGUACCAAACAACCUAAAACAAACAUGUUCAGACUGGGACGAGACUGACAUCCAUUGACAAACACUUGAAGGAACCACCUUUUGCUGCAUUAUAUUAACAGAAUAGCAAUACCAUAUUAUCGGCUAAAUUCCUAACAAUGUUAAUUCGUCUCAUUAGCAGGCCGAAACAAUAGUUGUAUGUGAAAUUAAAAGAAGCAAAAUAUUUCUAAGAUGACACUUCCGAGCUGUACCCAAAUAUUGACUUCUUGUAGUUAAUUGAUAGAAUAGCCUGCGAGACACUUGUACUUGUUCUGGUUUGUCAUCCCGGUCCCUACACUCCAUAAAGUUUUUCAUCUAGACACUUCAACUCAAUCAAAACAAGACUUUUAAACCCUCCGGAAUAGCGUGAUGCUCACUUGCUUGAGGUGAAUGGCAAAUCAGCAUCCACGUCAGAUUGUAUGCCAAAAUAAUAUUAUUUAAUAAAAUUUUAAUUUCUUAAACAAAAAAUAAAAUAAAAUAAGCAAAAAAUUAAAAUUAAAGAAAACUCCUCCUCCCUUCUUCAAACCCACUUGCCAUGGCUUCUGAUACAAGGAAAUGGUUAGUAAAGCAAGGAUGGAACGAUUCCUCCUCCCUUCUUUAAAGUCACCUGCCAUGGCUUCUCCACCUGCCAUGGCUUCUCCAACUGCCAUGGCUUCUGAUACAAGAAAAUGGUUAGUAAAGCAAGGAUGGAACGAUGGACGUGAGGACGAAGAAGAAGACUGACGGGGGUGGGGUCGUUAUUGUUCAGUCGUUGCUGCUCUUGGCUGUUAAGUAGAAGGGGUCGUUUGGGGUGGAAGAAGAUGGAUUUUAGGGGGUUUUCGCCGGUUCAGGCAGUCAUGGUGGUCGUUUGGCGGCGAGGCAGUUCGGCGAAAUGGAAACGCUGGCUGGUGUGGCUGGUCGCAUUGACGGCUGGCUGUGAGGUGAGGACGGCAGCGGCUUAGAGUAUUAGGGUUUAGUUAGGGUUUUUGUUUCUUGGUUUGUUGAUGAAGAUGGCAGCCAUGGUUUUUUCUUCAACUUCUCCUUUAGGGUUUUGCCAAAGGUUUUUUUCAACAUUGUUAGGUGAGGUGAGGUGUAUGAAGAAGAAGAAGAAGAAGAAGAAGAAGAAGAAGAAGAAGAAGAAGAAGAAGAAGAAGAGAGGGGGCAAAACGGAGGGGGGUAGGGGCUGAAGAAGAAGAAGAGGGGUGGGGUAGGGGGCAGAACAGGGAAGGGGGCUGAAGAAGAAGAAAAGGGGGUAGAACGAAGUGGGAUAGAGGCUGGUGUAUUCUUUAUCUAUUUUUUUUAAUUUUUAAUUUUUAAUAAAAAAAAUCAUCAGCUCACGCACCUAAUAUGCGUGUGAAUCACUUAUUUUGUCCAACUUAACCAUAUCAAUAUCAUAUAAAUUCGGUCAACGUUCAGAAGGGUUCAAAAGUCUUGUUUUGAUUGAGUUGAAGUGUCCAGAUAAAACUUCAUAGAGUAUAGGGACCGGAUAAAAAAUCAGAACAAGUACAAGUAUCUCUCAG